AUAGUUUGAUCCUGGCUCAGAACGAACGCUGGCGGCGUGCUUAACACAUGCAAGUCAAACGGUUUUGUAGCAAUACAGAGCAGUGGCGCACGGGUGAGUAAUGCAUGGGAAUUUUCCAAGUGGAGAGGAAUACCUACGGGAAACUGUAGUUAAUACUUCGUAAGCAGGAGAUUGUAAAAGAUUUCCUGGAAACAUGGGGACCUAAAUAUUUCUAUAGAUUUUUAGAAUGUAAAUAUCUGAUAAUCUAUUGAAAUAUUUAGGCCUAUGGCCAUUUGAUAAGCUCAUGUCCCAUUAGCUUGUUGGUGAGGUAACGGCCCACCAAGGCGAUGAUGGGUAGCUGGUCUGAGAGGACGAUCAGCCACACUGGAACUGAGACACGGUCCAGACUCCUACGGGAGGCAGCAGUGGGGAAUAUUGCGCAAUGGGCGAAAGCCUGACGCAGCAACGCCGCGUGAGUGAAGAAGGCCUUAGGGUUGUAAAGCUCUUUCGGCUGGGAAGAAGGGAGUAAUGGUGAAUAAUCAUUGCUUUUGAUGGUACCAGAAGAAGAAGCACCGGCAAACUUCGUGCCAGCAGCCGCGGUAAUACGAAGGGUGCGAGCGUUGUUCGGAAUUAUUGGGCGUAAAGGGUUCGUAGGCGGGAUAGUAAGUCAAGUGUGAAAUCCCCGAGCUUAACUCGGGAAGUGCAUUUGAAACUAUUAUU
This 699-nucleotide ribosomal RNA is filed under the name uncultured bacterium. Its description in RNAcentral is "bacterial SSU rRNA". It matches the Rfam family "Bacterial small subunit ribosomal RNA", at positions 8 to 640 of the family's 1533-position model. The record is from RNAcentral.